RNAcentral lists this long non-coding RNA (238 nucleotides) under Lotus japonicus. Its description in RNAcentral is "long non-coding RNA (LJAP_LNC000915)". The record is from RNAcentral. Lineage: Eukaryota; Viridiplantae; Streptophyta; Magnoliopsida; Fabales; Fabaceae.
ACAACCAUUGGAAAAUAGCACCACUCCAAACAAGUAUAAUAAAUAAGCCUUAAUAUAAGGCUGUAGUUUCUCUAGCUCGUCAAUUUUAAUGCCUGGAGGAACCUCGUGCAAAAUCAAGCGCAGCUCAGUUGGAUCAAUCAUGCCGCUUUUGGGAUUUAGGUGUAGUGACUCUGCCUCAACAAGAUCCUUCGCUAAACCAUGAUCUAAAAUGGGUUUACAAGCAUCUUGAGACUCGAAG